CUACAAUGCUUCCUUCCAGUAACAAUACUCGUUCAUCAACUAAUAACCACAAUGUGAAAUCUUGCACUCUUAAAAGACCUCUCAAAAUACAUAAAUUCCAUCCAACACCAAGAAUAACAGACUUCAUUCCAACUAUUCUGAAUUCACACAAUUUUUAUAAUCACAAACUUCCUCUAUCAAAACACACAAACAACUCUCAAUAAACAACAAUCAUAAUCUUCCAUCUAUAAUCAAUCUUCCAAUAACUUCUUAUAUAAUUUAAUCACUUGGUAUCCCAAUUACAUAAUCAAUAACUCAUAAAUCAAUCUCUGAUUUAUUCCACAGACUCACUUCACAAUAUUCAAAAAGUAUCCAUUACUCUUUAACAACAAAGAAACAAAGAGGUAGUACUAAGUUUAUCCCGACUCAUCACUAUCACAGUCUGGUCCUCAGGCUAACUUCUAUAAUUCUUAUAUACUUACUCCAUAUUCCUAGAUUCUAACCAUAAUCCUAUAAUUAACUAUUUUUAAUAACUAAGUUAACCAUCCGUCCUCCGAAACUGACUAUUCUAUGGACUAUUAGUAUAUUUUAUCAAUAG
RNAcentral lists this long non-coding RNA (577 nucleotides) under Physcomitrium patens. RNAcentral describes it as "long non-coding RNA (PPAT_LNC013743)". The record is from RNAcentral. Lineage: Eukaryota; Viridiplantae; Streptophyta; Bryopsida; Funariales; Funariaceae.